AGCGUUGUCCGGAUUUAUUGGGCGUAAAGAGCGUGUAGGCGGCUAGGCAGGUCCGUUGUGAAAACUCGAGGCUCAACCUCGAGACGCCGAUGGAAACCGUCUGGCUAGAGUCCGGAAGAGGAGAGUGGAAUUCCUGGUGUAGCGGUGAAAUGCGCAGAUAUCAGGAAGAACACCCGUGGCUAAGGCGGCUCUCUAGUACGGUACUGACGCUGAGACGCGAAAGCGUGGGGAGCGAACAGG
This 240-nucleotide ribosomal RNA is filed under the name uncultured bacterium. RNAcentral's name for it is "partial 16S ribosomal RNA". It matches the Rfam family "Bacterial small subunit ribosomal RNA", at positions 537 to 776 of the family's 1533-position model. The record is from RNAcentral.